This 541-nucleotide ribosomal RNA is filed under the name Diplodia mutila. RNAcentral describes it as "eukaryotic LSU rRNA". The stretch from base 200 to 353 matches the Rfam family "5.8S ribosomal RNA". Lineage: Eukaryota; Fungi; Ascomycota; Dothideomycetes; Botryosphaeriales; Botryosphaeriaceae. The record is from RNAcentral.
CCUGCGGACUGACGGAUACAUUACCGAGUUCUCGGGCUUCGGCCCGAAUCUCCCACCCUUUGUGAACAUACCUCUGUUGCUUUGGCGGCUCUUGCCGCGUGGAGGCCCUCAAAAGCCCCCCCGCGCGCGCUUCCGCCAGAGGACCAUCAAACUCCAGUCAGUGAACGUCGACGUCUGAAAAAACAAGUUAAUAAACUAAAACUUUCAACAACGGAUCUCUUGGUUCUGGCAUCGAUGAAGAACGCAGCGAAAUGCGAUAAGUAAUGUGAAUUGCAGAAUUCAGUGAAUCAUCGAAUCUUUGAACGCACAUUGCGCCCCUUGGCAUUCCGAGGGGCAUGCCUGUUCGAGCGUCAUUACAACCCUCAAGCUCUGCUUGGUAUUGGGCGCCGUCCUCUCUGCGGACGCGCCUCAAAGACCUCGGCGGCGGCUGUUCAGCCCUCAAGCGUAGUAGAAUACACCUCGCUUUGGAGCGGUUGGCGUCGCCCGCCGGACGAACCUUCUGAACUUUUCUCAAGGUUGACCUCGGAUCAGGUAGAUCAGU